This 73-nucleotide transfer RNA is filed under the name Cryptopone sauteri. RNAcentral's name for it is "tRNA-Lys". The record is from RNAcentral. Lineage: Eukaryota; Metazoa; Arthropoda; Insecta; Hymenoptera; Formicidae.
UCAUUAAAUGACUGAUUUAUAAGUAUUGAUUUUUUAAAUCAAUUUAUAAUAGAUUUAAUCUAUUUUUAAUGAA